ACUCAGAUAGUUUAAUUAGAAUUAUAAUUUGUGAUGUUAUAGGUGUUUUAUAACUUUGAGUU
Molecule: transfer RNA, 62 nt
Filed under: Cymus sp.
Lineage: Eukaryota; Metazoa; Arthropoda; Insecta; Hemiptera; Cymidae
Description: tRNA-His
Source: RNAcentral